GCCGCGGUGGCUUAAUUGGCAAGAGCAUCGCACUCGUAAUGCGAAGACAUGGGUUCGUGCCCCAUCUGCGGCC
Dermacentor silvarum is the source of this 73-nucleotide non-coding RNA. The record is from the annotation of a RefSeq genome assembly. NCBI's taxonomy places the organism in Eukaryota, Metazoa, Arthropoda, Arachnida, Ixodida, Ixodidae.